Molecule: long non-coding RNA, 869 nt
Organism: Dicentrarchus labrax (European seabass)
Lineage: Eukaryota; Metazoa; Chordata; Actinopteri; Moronidae
Exons: 6
Source: RefSeq, a predicted model, not a curated record
UGUUACUGCCGGUACUGCUCCACAAGAGCAACGUUACACUGUUUGAUCAGUCAGUGAGACAAUGACAGUGGAUAAUGACCUUAAUCGAUCUCUGAUAUUCUCACACAGCGAGGAAACAACAAACAAACAAACAAACAAACAGCAGCCAUUGAACUACCAGCAGCUUCAUUAUCACAUUGUUUGUCUUUGUUGUUCGAGACGCUGUUCGCUUGUCGCUUUCACUGAAUGCUCAUCAACAGGUGGCGUUGAUUUCCUCUGACAAUAACAGCAAGAAAACAACAACAACGACUGUUUAAAAGGUUCAAGUAUCCGGAGCGACCGCGAACUUUCCGUCAUGGCGUCAGUUCGCCUGAGCAGCCCGGUGGAGAGUCUGUUCCCUGGUGGAGAGUCAUUGUGGACUAGAGAGGGAAUACUGGGAAUAUCUGCUUCAUGGAGACGUUUGGAGGACGAGAGGAAGAAGAAAAGAGGACAUAAGACGAAGAACUGGAGUUUGUUGUGAGUUAGAAGGAGGACUGCUGCUGAGGCUCUGUGGGAACUAUGGAAGAGUCUUCAGUUUCUUACAGGUUGAAGGCUGAUGUCCAGAGUUACAGGAGGACUGCUGUUGACACGGCCUGCAGGAAACACAGAAGAGUCUUCAGAUAUUGGAGAGGUCCGUGGGGUGAAAUCCAACCUCAAAAUUAAGGAAAUUCUGGACCCUCAGGCUCCUGUAACCCAAAUCCCAUCGCUCCCAACCAGAACCCCGGACACGCUGCUGUAACCGUCUUCCACUGCGAUGCUGUGGUAUGUAUCUUACAUUAUUCUUGUAUAUGUAGUAAUAUUAUAUUUUUUUUUUUUUAUAUUUUUUUUUUUUUUUUUUUUUUUUUUUUAUU